GAUGAACGCUGGCGGCGUGCCUAAUACAUGCAAGUCGAGCGAACGGACGAGAAGCUUGCUUCUCUGAUGUUAGCGGCGGACGGGUGAGUAACACGUGGAUAACCUACCUAUAAGACUGGGAUAACUUCGGGAAACCGGAGCUAAUACCGGAUAAUAUUUUGAACCGCAUGGUUCAAAAGUGAAAGACGGUCUUGCUGUCACUUAUAGAUGGAUCCGCGCUGCAUUAGCUAGUUGGUAAGGUAACGGCUUACCAAGGCAACGAUGCAUAGCCGACCUGAGAGGGUGAUCGGCCACACUGGGACUGAGACACGGUCCAGACUCCUACGGGAGGCAGCAGUAGGGAAUCUUCCGCAAUAGGCGAAAGCCUGACGGAGCAACGCCGCGUGAGUGAUGAAGGUCUUCGGAUCGUAAAACUCUGUUAUUAGGGAAGAACAUAUGUGUAAGUAACUGUGCACAUCUUGACGGUACCUAAUCAGAAAGCCACGGCUAACUACGUGC
This 498-nucleotide ribosomal RNA is filed under the name uncultured bacterium. Its description in RNAcentral is "partial 16S ribosomal RNA". It matches the Rfam family "Bacterial small subunit ribosomal RNA", at positions 28 to 508 of the family's 1533-position model. The record is from RNAcentral.